Molecule: transfer RNA, 72 nt
Filed under: Chelonia mydas (Green sea turtle)
Lineage: Eukaryota; Metazoa; Chordata; Testudines; Cheloniidae
Rfam family: tRNA
About the family: Transfer RNA (tRNA) molecules are approximately 80 nucleotides in length. Their secondary structure includes four short double-helical elements and three loops (D, anti-codon, and T loops). Further hydrogen bonds mediate the characteristic L-shaped molecular structure. tRNAs have two regions of fundamental functional importance: the anti-codon, which is responsible for specific mRNA codon recognition, and the 3' end, to which the tRNAs corresponding amino acid is attached (by aminoacyl-tRNA synthetases). tRNAs cope with the degeneracy of the genetic code in two manners: having more than one tRNA (with a specific anti-codon) for a particular amino acid; and 'wobble' base-pairing, i.e. permitting non-standard base-pairing at the 3rd anti-codon position.
Source: Rfam by way of RNAcentral
GGGAGGACGGCCUUGUGGUUAAGGCGCUGGCCUAGGGGCCAGGUGCUCUGGGUUCUAGUCCCAGUGCUGCUG